RNAcentral lists this ribosomal RNA (301 nucleotides) under uncultured bacterium. RNAcentral describes it as "partial 16S ribosomal RNA". It matches the Rfam family "Bacterial small subunit ribosomal RNA", at positions 509 to 807 of the family's 1533-position model. The record is from RNAcentral.
CAGUAGCCGCGGUAAUACGAAGGGUGCAAGCGUUAAUCGGAAUUACUGGGCGUAAAGCGUGCGUAGGCGGUUCGUUAAGUCUGUUGUGAAAGCCCCGGGCUCAACCUGGGAAUGGCAAUGGAUACUGGCGAGCUAGAGUGUGUCAGAGGAUGGUGGAAUUCCCGGUGUAGCGGUGAAAUGCGUAGAGAUCGGGAGGAACAUCAGUGGCGAAGGCGGCCAUCUGGGACAACAUUGACGCUGAGGCACGAAAGCGUGGGGUGCAAACAGGAUUAGAUACCCGGGUAGUCCCUGUCUCUUAUAC